GACGAACGCUGGCGGCGUGCUUAACACAUGCAAGUCGAACGGAAAGGCCCUGCUUUUGUGGGGUGCUCGAGUGGCGAACGGGUGAGUAACACGUGAGUAACCUGCCCUUCACUUUGGGAUAACUUCAGGAAACUGGGGCUAAUACCGGAUAGGAGCCCCUGCUGCAUGGUGGGGGUUGGAACGUUUCGGCGGUUGGGGAUGGACUAGCGGCUUAUCAGCUUGUUGGUGGGGUAGUGGCAUACCAAGGGUUUGACGGGUCGCCGGCCUGUGAGGGUGACCGGCGACAUUGGGACUGAGGUACGGCGCAGACUCCUACGGUAGGCAGCAGUGGGGAAUAUUGCACAGUGGGCGGAAGUCUGAUGCAGCAACGCCGCGUGCGGGAAGACGGCCUUCGGGUUGAAAACCGCUUUAGCCUGUGACGAAGCGUGAGUGACGGUAAUGGGUAAAGAAGCACCGGCUAACUACGUG
Molecule: ribosomal RNA, 468 nt
Filed under: uncultured bacterium
Lineage: Bacteria
Description: partial 16S ribosomal RNA
Rfam family: Bacterial small subunit ribosomal RNA
Source: RNAcentral